Molecule: ribosomal RNA, 491 nt
Filed under: uncultured bacterium
Lineage: Bacteria
Description: bacterial SSU rRNA
Rfam family: Bacterial small subunit ribosomal RNA
Source: RNAcentral
GACGAACGCUGGCGGCGCGUCUUAAGCAUGCAAGUCGGGCGGGAUCCAUAUGCUUGCAUAUGGUGAGAGCGGCGGACUGGCGAGUAACACGUGGGCGACGCGCCCUCCGGACGGGAAUAGCCUGUAGAAAUACAGGGUAAUGCCGGAUGCGAACGCACGGGCUGGAGCCGUGCGUGGAAAGCCCCCACGGGGGCGCCGGAGGAGCGGCCCGCGGCCCAUCAGCUUGUAGGCGGUGCAAGGGACCACCUAGGCUACGACGGGUACCCGGCCUCAGAGGGCGGACGGGCGCAUUGGGACUGAGAUACGGCCCAGACUCCUACGGGAGGCAGCAGCUAAGAAUAUUCCGCAAUGGGGGGAACCCUGACGGAGCGACGCCGCGUGGGCGAGGAAGGCCGGAAGGUGUAAAGCCCUUUUGCGCGCGAGGAAUGAGGGGAGGAGGGAAUGCCUUCCCGGUGACUGUAGCGCGCGAAUAAGCGCCGGCUAAUUACGUG